UACGUAGGGUGCAAGCGUUAAUCGGAAUUACUGGGCGUAAAGCGUGCGCAGGCGGUUAUGCAAGACAGAGGUGAAAUCCCCGGGCGUCAACCUGGGAACGUGCCUUUGUGACUGCAAAGCUAGAGUGUGGCAGAGGGGGGUGGAAUUCCACGUGUAGCAGUGAAAUGCGUAGAGAUGUGGAGGAACACCGAUGGCGAAGGCAGCCCCCUGGGCCAAUACUGACGCUCAUGCACGAAAGCGUGGGGAGCAAACAGGAUUAGAUACCCUUGUAGU
RNAcentral lists this ribosomal RNA (273 nucleotides) under uncultured bacterium. RNAcentral describes it as "partial 16S ribosomal RNA". It matches the Rfam family "Bacterial small subunit ribosomal RNA", at positions 524 to 794 of the family's 1533-position model. The record is from RNAcentral.